UGUAACUAAGGGCACUAGGAGAGCUUUAGGUUCCGGCCUUCUAUGUUUCUCUCUUUGUCUGGACCACCUCGCUCAAGCAGCCAGUGUUCCUGACCAGUUUAAGGAGCCUGCCAAGAGAUCUAAAGAGCAUCGCUAUUGCCAGUGACACUUCAAGCACCAUUAGAUCUGCUGAAUCUGGCUGAGCACUACCUCUGUUAUGUUCGAGAGUUGAUGGUGGCACCAAUCUCUGCAGUCUCUCCAGGGUCUGCCUGAGCUUCAGAGAGCUGCCUUCCUGAGGUCAGUCCUUUCCCGGGAAGCCUGGAUCUAGUGACUGAGUGAAGCAGAGAUGUAAAGCAUCUCCCUCCUUGCUUCUGUCCAAGGAAUGGGAGGUUCAUCUCUUUAGAUGGAGUCCCAGGAUCAUGGGUCGGUCAUCUGCUAAAAGUCUGGAAUAGCCUACAAAACUGUGGUAGUAGAAUGGACAUAAUAUUAUGUGGCGAAGAAAAAGCGUAUUUUACAUUGAAAAGAUGACAAUUCAAAUCCAGAUUUCAAGUAAGUGGAAACAAGAAUCUCAGACAUACCUGUUCCUGCUUCUGUGGCAUUUAAGGAGAAAGAACCACUCUCCAAUUACAUGUGUUUACGGGGAUGAUGAUUUUCUAGCCACAGUAGCUGCAGCUGAAAGAUGCCUGUGGCUGGGAGAAGGGAGCAAAGAGACCUCCACACCCCUUCCCUACUGCAAGCUUGGAUUCUGACUGUGCAUACCGUGGAGAUGGGAGGAAAGCUCGUUGAAGAAGGUCUGAAUGACAUGAAUACGUGUAUCUUAGAUUAGACUUUUUAAUACCUUAGAAAGUGAGACUAAUUAAUACCCGUAAAUCAUGGAGUAACCUAUGAGAUCUGCCCAAGAUUUUAUCAAGGAAUAGGAAAGAACAAGCCUUCAGAAUGUGUUCCAAGAGAAUAAAUGUGAGAACAAACAAAAUUAUUUUUUGUUCUCAAUCCACUAAGUUCAAUGAAUACAUCAAAUCCACCAACAUAAUUUCUAUCAGUUGCUUCUUUCUUCUAAAACUGCUAAGCCUUUUUUAUGGGUUUGCUUUGAUUUCCCGAAUAAACUUGAAUUAGUUUUGAAAGUGCACUUUUUAAUUCUCCAACCAUGAAGUCUAUCAGAUAAUAGCUAAAAACAAUUAAAAAAUACUUUAAUUUUGUUUACUUGAUAUUAUGUCAAUUAGAAUCUUUAUCAACAGGCCAGUCCUAUUGCACAUGUACACUGUAAUAGUUGGUCUCCUCAGAAUGAUGUGGUGACCUCAAAAGAUCUUUUGUUACUAUUAAAAUGAUGUCAAACUAUAUUCAGAAUUAUUUUAGAAAAAAGACACUAAUGAACUCAUCUACAAAAUCAGAAACAGACUCACAGACAUAGUAAACAAUCUUACAGUUACUGGGGGAGAAGUGGUGAAGGGAUA
Vicugna pacos (alpaca) is the source of this 1430-nucleotide non-coding RNA. The record is from RefSeq and is a predicted model, not a curated record. NCBI's taxonomy places the organism in Eukaryota, Metazoa, Chordata, Mammalia, Artiodactyla, Camelidae.